This 264-nucleotide ribosomal RNA is filed under the name uncultured bacterium. RNAcentral's name for it is "partial 16S ribosomal RNA". It matches the Rfam family "Bacterial small subunit ribosomal RNA", at positions 269 to 525 of the family's 1533-position model. The record is from RNAcentral.
CAAGGCGACGAUCUGUAGCUGGUUUGAGAGAAUGAUCAGCCACACUGGGACUGAGACACGGCCCUUACUCCUACGGGAGGCAGCAGUGGGGAAUAUUGGACAAUGGGGGCAACCCUGAUCCAGCAAUGCCGCGUGUGUGAAGAAGGCCUUCGGGUUGUAAAGCACUUUAAGUUGGGAGGAAAAGCUGCUUGUUAAUAGCGAGUAGUGUUGACGUUACCAACAGAAUAAGCACCGGCUAACUCCGUGCCAGCAGCCGCGGUAAUA